GAUGAACGCUGGCGGCGUGCCUAAUACAUGCCAGUCGAGCGAACAGACGAGGAGCUUGCUCCUUUGACGUUAGCGGCGGACGGGUGAGUAACACGUGGGUAACCUACCUAUAAGACUGGGAUAACUUCGGGAAACCGGAGCUAAUACCGGAUAAUAUUUCGAACCGCAUGGUUCGAUAGUGAAAGAUGGCUUUGCUAUCACUUAUAGAUGGACCUGCGCCGUAUUAGCUAGUUGGUAAGGUAACGGCCUACCAAGGCAACGAUACGUAGCCGACCUGAGAGGGUGAUCGGCCACACUGGAACUGAGACACGGUCCAGACUCCUACGGGAGGCAGCAGUAGGGAAUCUUCCGCAAUGGGCGAAAGCCUGACGGAGCAACGCCGCGUGAGUGAUGAAGGUCUUCGGAUCGUAAAACUCUGUUAUUAGGGAAGAACAAACGUGUAAGUAACUGUGCACGUCUUGACGGUACCUAAUCAGAAAGCCACGGCUAACUACGUG
Molecule: ribosomal RNA, 497 nt
Filed under: uncultured bacterium
Lineage: Bacteria
Description: partial 16S ribosomal RNA
Rfam family: Bacterial small subunit ribosomal RNA
Source: RNAcentral